Molecule: non-coding RNA, 73 nt
Organism: Schistocerca gregaria
Lineage: Eukaryota; Metazoa; Arthropoda; Insecta; Orthoptera; Acrididae
Source: the annotation of a RefSeq genome assembly
CCUGCGGUAGUGUAAUGGUCAGCAUUUCUGCCUUGCAAGCAAGAAGACCCGGGUUCGAGUCCCGACCGCAGCA